AGCAGCCGCGGUAAUUCCAGCUCCAAUAGCGUAUACUAAAGUUGUUGCAGUUAAAAAGCUCGUAGUUGAAUUUCUGGUCGCGAAAGGUGGUCCGUUCCUCACGGAAUGUGUACUGUCCAUUCGUGUCCAUUCUCGGAGUUAGUUUGUAUUACCUUAAUCGGUCGUGCAUACAACCUUCGUCAUUUACUGUGAGCAAAAUAGAGUGCUCAAAGCAGGCUAAAAUGCCUGAAUAUUCGUGCAUGGAAUAAUAGAAUAGGAUGUCGAUCCUAUUUUGUUGGUUUUCGGGACUCGACAUAAUGAUAAAUAGGGACAGUCGGGGGCAUUUGUAUUCAAACGACAGAGGUGAAAUUCUUGGACCGUUUGAAGACAAACUACUGCGAAAGCAUUUGCCAAGAAUGUUUUCAUUAAUCAAGAACGAAAGUUAGAGGUUCGAAGGCGAUUAGAUACCGCCCUAGUUCUAACCAUAAACGAUGCCAGCUAGCGAUCUGCCUGCGUUUUUACUGUAGACUGGGCAGGAAGCUUCCGGGAAACCAAAGCAUUUGGGUUCCAGGGGAAGUAUGGUUGCAAAGCUGAAACUUAAAGGAAUUGACGGAAGGGCACCACCAGGAGUGGAGCCUGUGGCUUAAUUUGACUCAACACGGGAAAUCUCACCAGGCCCGGACACUGGAAGGAUUGACAGAUUGAUAGCUCUUUCUUGAUUCGGUGGGUGGUGGUGCAUGGCCGUUCUUAGUUGGUGGAGUGAUUUGUCUGGUUAAUUCCGAUAACGAACGAGACUCUGUCCUGCUAAAUAGUUUCUACUUCUCUUUUGAGUAGAAAUUUCUUCUUAGAGGGACUGGUGACUCUUAGUCACACGAGAUUGAGCAAUAACAGGUCUGUGAUGC
RNAcentral lists this ribosomal RNA (881 nucleotides) under uncultured eukaryote. Its description in RNAcentral is "bacterial SSU rRNA". It matches the Rfam family "Eukaryotic small subunit ribosomal RNA", at positions 569 to 1470 of the family's 1831-position model. The record is from RNAcentral.